This 74-nucleotide transfer RNA is filed under the name FCB group bacterium. RNAcentral describes it as "tRNA-Trp". It matches the Rfam family "tRNA". From Rfam's summary of the family: Transfer RNA (tRNA) molecules are approximately 80 nucleotides in length. Their secondary structure includes four short double-helical elements and three loops (D, anti-codon, and T loops). Lineage: Bacteria; Pseudomonadati. The record is from RNAcentral.
GGGCCAAUAGCUCCAACUGGUAGAGCGCCGGAUUCCAGUCCCGGAUGUUGGGGGUUCGAAUCCCUCUUGGCCUG